Molecule: ribosomal RNA, 426 nt
Filed under: uncultured Anaplasma sp.
Lineage: Bacteria; Pseudomonadati; Pseudomonadota; Alphaproteobacteria; Rickettsiales; Anaplasmataceae
Description: bacterial SSU rRNA
Rfam family: Bacterial small subunit ribosomal RNA
Source: RNAcentral
AACGAACGCUGGCGGCAAGCUUAACACAUGCAAGUCGAACGGAUUGUUCUCGUAGCUUGCUAUGAGAACAAUUAGUGGCAGACGGGUGAGUAAUGCAUAGGAAUCUACCUAGUAGUAUAGGAUAGCCACUAGAAGUGGUGGGUAAUACUGUAUAAUCCCUGCGGGGGAAAGAUUUAUCGCUACAUGAUGAGCCUAUGUUAGAUUAGCUAGUUGGGGGGGUAAUGGCCUACCAAGGCAGUGAUCUAUAGCUGGUCUGAGAGGAUGAUCAGCCACACUGGAACUGAGACACGGUCCAGACUCCUACGGGAGGCAGCAGUGGGGAAUAUUGGACAAUGGGCGCAAGCCUGAUCCAGCUAUGCCGCGUGAGUGAGGAAGGCCUUAGGGUUGUAAAACUCUUUCAGUGGGGAAGAUAAUGACGGUACCCAC